Molecule: unclassified non-coding RNA, 347 nt
Filed under: soil metagenome
Description: partial contains 5.8S ribosomal RNA, internal transcribed spacer 2, and large subunit ribosomal RNA
Rfam family: 5.8S ribosomal RNA (bases 1-120)
Source: RNAcentral
GAUGAAGAACGCAGCGAAAUGCGAUACGUAAUGUGAAUUGCAGAAUUCAGUGAAUCAUCGAGUCUUUGAACGCACAUUGCGCCCCCUGGUAUUCCGGGGGGCAUGCCUGUCCGAGCGUCAUUGCUGCCCUCAAGCACGGCUUGUGUGUUGGGCCCCGUCCUCCGAUCCCGGGGGACGGGCCCGAAAGGCAGCGGCGGCACCGCGUCCGGUCCUCGAGCGUAUGGGGCUUUGUCACCCGCUCUGUAGGCCCGGCCGGCGCUUGCCGAUCAACCCAAAUUUUUUAUCCAGGUUGACCUCGGAUCAGGUAGGGAUACCCGCUGAACUUAAGCAUAUCAAUAAGCGCAGGA